ACGACGCUGGCGGCGUGCCUAACACAUGCAAGUCGAGCGGAGAUGUACUGAAGAUUUAUCGGAUGUACAUCUUAGCGGCGGACGGGUGAGUAACGCGUGGGCAACCUGCCUUCCACUGGGGGAUAACACAGGGAAACCUGUGCUAAUACCGCAUGACAUCACAUAGGGCAUCCUGUGUGAUCAAAGGAGUGAUCCGGUGGAAGAUGGGCCCGCGUCCGAUUAGCUAGUUGGUGAGGUAACGGCUCACCAAGGCGACGAUCGGUAGCCGGACUGAGAGGUUGGCCGGCCACAUUGGGACUGAGACACGGCCCAGACUCCUACGGGAGGCAGCAGUGGGGAGUAUUGCGCAAUGGGGGGAACCCUGACGCAGCGACGCCGCGUGAAGGAAGAAGGCCUUCGGGUUGUAAACUUCUUUGAUGAGGGACGAAGGAAGUGACGGUACCUCAAAAACAAGCCACGGCUAACUACGUG
RNAcentral lists this ribosomal RNA (471 nucleotides) under uncultured bacterium. Its description in RNAcentral is "bacterial SSU rRNA". It matches the Rfam family "Bacterial small subunit ribosomal RNA", at positions 33 to 507 of the family's 1533-position model. The record is from RNAcentral.